RNAcentral lists this ribosomal RNA (427 nucleotides) under uncultured bacterium. RNAcentral describes it as "bacterial SSU rRNA". It matches the Rfam family "Bacterial small subunit ribosomal RNA", at positions 29 to 457 of the family's 1533-position model. The record is from RNAcentral.
AUUGAACGCUGGCGGCAUGCCUAACACAUGCAAGUCGAACGGCAGCACGGCAGUAGCAAUACUGUGGGUGGCGAGUGGCGGACGGGUGAGGAAUACGUCGGAAUCUGCCCAGUCGUGGGGGAUAACUAGCCGAAAGGUUAGCUAAUACCGCAUACGACCGAGAGGUGAAAGCGGGGGACCGCAAGGCCUCGCGCGAUUGGAUGAGCCGACGUCGGAUUAGCUAGUUGAGGGUAAAGGCCACCAAGGCGACGAUCCGUAGCUGGUCUGAGAGGAUGAUCAGCCACACUGGAACUGAGACACGGUCCAGACUCCUACGGGAGGCAGCAGUGGGGAAUAUUGGACAAUGGGCGCAAGCCUGAUCCAGCAAUGCCGCGUGUGUGAAGAAGGCCUCGGUGUAAGUACGACUUAUUCUAGACGAAAGAACGUA